RNAcentral lists this ribosomal RNA (359 nucleotides) under uncultured bacterium. RNAcentral's name for it is "bacterial SSU rRNA". It matches the Rfam family "Bacterial small subunit ribosomal RNA", at positions 29 to 410 of the family's 1533-position model. The record is from RNAcentral.
AACGAACGCUGGCGGCAGGCCUAACACAUGCAAGUCGAACGCCGUAGCAAUACGGAGUGGCAGACGGGUGAGUAACACGUGGGAACGUACCCUUCGGUUCGGAAUAACUCAGGGAAACUUGAGACUAAAACCGGAUACGUCCGAGAGGAGAAAGAUUCAUCGCCGAGGGAUCCGGCCCGCGUCUGAUUAGCUUGUUGGUGAGGUAACGGCUCACCAAGGCGACGAUCAGUAGCUGGUCNGAGAGGAUGAUCAGCCACAUUGGGACUGAGACACGGCCCAAACUCCGUACGGGAGGCAGCAGGUGGGGAAUAUUGGACAAGUGGGCGCAAGCCUGAUCCAGCCAUGCCGCGUGAGUGAUG